AUUGAACGCUGGCGGAAUGCUUUACACAUGCAAGUCGAACGGCAGCACGGGGGCAACCCUGGUGGCGAGUGGCGAACGGGUGAGUAAUACAUCGGAACGUGCCCGGUCGUGGGGGAUAACGUAGCGAAAGUUACGCUAAUACCGCAUACGAUCUGAGGAUGAAAGCGGGGGACCUUCGGGCCUCGCGCGAUCGGAUCGGCCGAUGUCAGAUUAGGUAGUUGGUGGGGUAAAGGCCUACCAAGCCGACGAUCUGUAGCUGGUCUGAGAGGACGACCAGCCACACUGGGACUGAGACACGGCCCAGACUCCUACGGGAGGCAGCAGUGGGGAAUUUUGGACAAUGGGCGCAAGCCUGAUCCAGCCAUUCCGCGUGCAGGACGAAGGCCUUCGGGUUGUAAACUGCUUUUGUAUGGAAAGAAAAGGCUCUGGCUAAUACCUGGGGCUCAUGACGGUACCGAAAGAAUAAGCACCGGCUAACUACGCG
Molecule: ribosomal RNA, 484 nt
Filed under: uncultured bacterium
Lineage: Bacteria
Description: partial 16S ribosomal RNA
Rfam family: Bacterial small subunit ribosomal RNA
Source: RNAcentral